Molecule: non-coding RNA, 87 nt
Organism: Hypoxylon fuscum
Lineage: Eukaryota; Fungi; Ascomycota; Sordariomycetes; Xylariales; Hypoxylaceae
Source: the annotation of a GenBank genome assembly
GUACCUAUAGAGCAGUCGUUAGCUCAUUCCAUUGUGGUCGACUUGGAUAGCUCUGGAAAGACCUGGGUUCAAAUCCCAGUGGGUACA